AAAAAAUAAAAUUUACCAUCUUAACCAUGUAUGAGUGUACAGUUCAGUAGUGUUAAAUGUGUUCACAUUGUUGUGAAACAGAUCUUCAGACCUUUUUCAUCCUGCAAAUCG
This is a long non-coding RNA of Mustela erminea (ermine), 111 nucleotides long. RefSeq lists it as uncharacterized. The record is from RefSeq and is a predicted model, not a curated record. Lineage: Eukaryota; Metazoa; Chordata; Mammalia; Carnivora; Mustelidae. The transcript has 3 exons.